UUGGACUCAACGCCGGGCAGCUCACCGGAUAAGACAGCUGGAUGAUAGCCGGGCUGAAGACUCUGCUUGACUAGCUGAGAGGAGGUGCAUGGCCGUCGUCAGUUCGUACUGUGAAGCAUCCUGUUAAGUCAGGCAACGAGCGAGACCCACGCCAACAGUUGCCAGCAUGUCCUCCGGGAUGAUGGGGACACUGUUGGGACCGCCUCUGCUAAAGAGGAGGAAGGAAUGGGCAACGGUAGGUCAGCAUGCCCCGAAUUAUCCGGGCUACACGCGGGCUACAAUGGUCAGGACAAUGGGUAUCGACACCGAGAGGUGGAGGCAAUCUCCUAAACCUGUCCUUAGUUCGGAUUGUGGGCUGCAACUCGCCCACAUGAAGCUGGAAUCCGUAGUAAUCGCGUUUCAAAAUAGCGCGGUGAAUAUGUCCCUGCUCCUU
RNAcentral lists this ribosomal RNA (433 nucleotides) under uncultured Methanolinea sp. RNAcentral describes it as "bacterial SSU rRNA". It matches the Rfam family "Archaeal small subunit ribosomal RNA", at positions 906 to 1338 of the family's 1478-position model. Lineage: Archaea; Methanobacteriati; Methanobacteriota; Methanomicrobia; Methanomicrobiales; Methanoregulaceae. The record is from RNAcentral.